This 253-nucleotide ribosomal RNA is filed under the name uncultured bacterium. Its description in RNAcentral is "partial 16S ribosomal RNA". It matches the Rfam family "Bacterial small subunit ribosomal RNA", at positions 524 to 776 of the family's 1533-position model. The record is from RNAcentral.
UACGUAGGGUGCGAGCGUUAAUCGGAAUUACUGGGCGUAAAGCGUGCGCAGGCGGUUCGUUAAGUCUGAUGGGAAAGCCCCGGGCUCAACCUGGGAAUGGCAUUGGAGACUGGCGAGCUUGAGUGUGGCAGAGGGGGGUGGAAUUCCGCGUGUAGCAGUGAAAUGCGUAGAGAUGCGGAGGAACACCGAUGGCGAAGGCAGCCCCCUGGGCUGACACUGACGCUCAGGCACGAAAGCGUGGGGAGCAAACAGG